CUGCCUUAAUGCUUGCGGAGAUACCACAUGGAUACGCCCUUCAUUGUUGUGGACUCGCGAACAGGUUUUCAUGUAGCAUCGAGUCACCUGCGAUUGUUGAGCGCUGAGGAAAGGAGUAAAAGUGCUUUGGCUGUGUUGUGCAACACGAUCUUUCUUCAAUGGGCGUGUAUUGACGAUAAUACUACCGAUAUUGUGUCCAGGAGCAGCUCUUCCUCCUUCACUGUUGAGACGCCCUUGAGCAGCGAUAUGCAUGGUGAUGUGCAGUACUUUCACUUCAAAAACAGUUUUUUGUGUGUGGUUUUCGCGAAAAGGCGGCACGAACUCUAUGAGCGCUAUGCGGAGUGCAUCGUGGAGGAGGCCGUCUGCGGCCGUGCAAGUAAACUGAGCGCAGCGGCGCACAUCCAGAGGUGUGCUGAGUCAGUUUUCAAAGAUAGCAUCCGCGCGUUGUUUGGAGGCGCCGGAGUCAAGGACUAUGCAAUAGUCACGCAGGGACCGUAUGGCUGCUUGAAUCUUGGGGGUGGUUUUUUGAGCGAACGGUGCGGCGUUCUCAACGCCCUUGUGCGCCGCACGUUUUCUUCUGGAGUGCACGUUGCAGGCAAUCUGAUGUAUUCAGUAAUUAUUCGCGGUGAGACGGUUUAUGCCGUAGCAGCGUGGGGUGUGUCUGUAGAGUGUUUAGAAGUUUUCGGCGAUGAUGUUCUCUGUUCGUGGGCGUUAACAUUAUGUAGUGUGACGGCGCAUUAGUGCUGUGAAAAAAAAAUAUCGCGACUGAUUACUGCGCAUUUGUUGCAUUCGAAGUUGAGGCGCGUCGGCUCAUCUUCGGUGGAUAUCGUUUUUGAACUCACUGUUGUUACUUCCAUGCUAACAUCCUAUGAAUGUACGUGAAGCGAUGGACGUGUUGCUGCUUUCUUUUUCUGUUUAUAUCGUCUCCUCUCUAAUUUACUCUGUGCGUCAUCUUUCUCCUUAUUCAG
Molecule: unclassified non-coding RNA, 968 nt
Filed under: Leishmania donovani
Lineage: Eukaryota; Euglenozoa; Kinetoplastea; Trypanosomatida; Trypanosomatidae
Description: gene:unknown
Source: RNAcentral